Molecule: ribosomal RNA, 823 nt
Filed under: Zeloasperisporium searsiae
Lineage: Eukaryota; Fungi; Ascomycota; Dothideomycetes
Description: eukaryotic LSU rRNA
Rfam family: Eukaryotic large subunit ribosomal RNA
Source: RNAcentral
GGAUUGCCCUAGUAACGGCGAGUGAAGCGGCAACAGCUCAAAUUUGAAAUCUGGCCCCCUCGGGGUCCGAGUUGUAAUUUGCAGAGGAUGCUUCGGCGUCGGCACCGGCCCAAGUCCCUUGGAACAGGGCGUCCCAGAGGGUGAGAACCCCGUGUCCGGCCGGACCGCCGUCGCCAUGUGUAGCUCCCUCGACGAGUCGAGUUGUUUGGGAAUGCAGCUCUAAGCGGGUGGUAAAUUCCAUCUAAAGCUAAAUACCAGCCGGAGACCGAUAGCGCACAAGUAGAGUGAUCGAAAGAUGAAAAGCACUUUGAAAAGAGAGUUAAAAAGCACGUGAAAUUGUUGAAAGGGAAGCGCUCGCGGCCAGACUCGCGGCGGGGGUUCAGCCGGCCGUCAGGCCGGUCCACUCCCCCGUCGCGGGCCAGCAUCAGUUUGGGCGGCCGGAGAACGGCGCCGGGAACGUAGCCCCUCGGGGUGUUAUAGCCCGGCGCACAAUGCGGCCCGCCCGGACUGAGGAUCGCGCUUCGGCUCGGAUGCUGGCGUAAUGGCCGUGAGCGGCCCGUCUUGAAACACGGACCAAGGAGUCUACCAUCUAUGCGAGUGUUUGGGUGUCAAACCCGUGCGCGCAAUGAAAGUGAACGGAGGCGGGAGCCCGUGAGGGUGCACCGUCGACCGAUCCUGAUGUUCUCGGAAGGAUUUGAGUAAGAGCAUAGCUGGUGGGACCCGAAAGAUGUUGAACUAUGCGUGAAUAGGGCGAAGCCAGAAGAAAUUCUGGUGGAGGCUCGCAGGGGUUCUGACGUGCAAAUCGAUCCUCAAAUUUGCGUAU